Molecule: ribosomal RNA, 901 nt
Filed under: Escherichia coli
Lineage: Bacteria; Pseudomonadati; Pseudomonadota; Gammaproteobacteria; Enterobacterales; Enterobacteriaceae
Description: partial 23S ribosomal RNA
Rfam family: Bacterial large subunit ribosomal RNA
Source: RNAcentral
CCAUGGGCAGGUUGAAGGUUGGGUAACACUAACUGGAGGACCGAACCGACUAAUGUUGAAAAAUUAGCGGAUGACUUGUGGCUGGGGGUGAAAGGCCAAUCAAACCGGGAGAUAGCUGGUUCUCCCCGAAAGCUAUUUAGGUAGCGCCUCGUGAAUUCAUCUCCGGGGGUAGAGCACUGUUUCGGCAAGGGGGUCAUCCCGACUUACCAACCCGAUGCAAACUGCGAAUACCGGAGAAUGUUAUCACGGGAGACACACGGCGGGUGCUAACGUCCGUCGUGAAGAGGGAAACAACCCAGACCGCCAGCUAAGGUCCCAAAGUCAUGGUUAAGUGGGAAACGAUGUGGGAAGGCCCAGACAGCCAGGAUGUUGGCUUAGAAGCAGCCAUCAUUUAAAGAAAGCGUAAUAGCUCACUGGUCGAGUCGGCCUGCGCGGAAGAUGUAACGGGGCUAAACCAUGCACCGAAGCUGCGGCAGCGACGCUUAUGCGUUGUUGGGUAGGGGAGCGUUCUGUAAGCCUGUGAAGGUGUGCUGUGAGGCAUGCUGGAGGUAUCAGAAGUGCGAAUGCUGACAUAAGUAACGAUAAAGCGGGUGAAAAGCCCGCUCGCCGGAAGACCAAGGGUUCCUGUCCAACGUUAAUCGGGGCAGGGUGAGUCGACCCCUAAGGCGAGGCCGAAAGGCGUAGUCGAUGGGAAACAGGUUAAUAUUCCUGUACUUGGUGUUACUGCGAAGGGGGGACGGAGAAGGCUAUGUUGGCCGGGCGACGGUUGUCCCGGUUUAAGCGUGUAGGCUGGUUUUCCAGGCAAAUCCGGAAAAUCAAGGCUGAGGCGUGAUGACGAGGCACUACGGUGCUGAAGCAACAAAUGCCCUGCUUCCAGGAAAAGCCUCUAAGCAUCAGGUAA